GUGCAGAUAGUAUUACUGCCUGUCCAUAUCGUAUCAGCAGAUGGACAUGAGAAAACAAACAAACACAAAAGCAACAGAUUCCUACCAUUCUGGAAAUGUAUCUGAUGAACAUUCUGCAUUGCAGUAAAGCAGAAGUCUACUACUCUUUCACUCCAGACCCCCCACAGGUACAAAUUUCAUCAGAAGUAAGUGCAAGAACACUGAGAAAUCACUCCCUUCAAACUGAGGGCUGC
Long non-coding RNA from Gorilla gorilla gorilla (western lowland gorilla), 233 nucleotides. RefSeq lists it as uncharacterized. Lineage: Eukaryota; Metazoa; Chordata; Mammalia; Primates; Hominidae. The record is from RefSeq and is a predicted model, not a curated record. The transcript is spliced from 3 exons.